AUUCCAGCGAUACGCGCCGCUUUGCGGAACGAGAAGUGCGUCUGGUCUGAGCAGUACACGACGAGGUCGCCGAUCCUCCCCCAGCCAACCUCCGCGAGCUUCCGGUCCCUAGCGGCGACAAGGGCGCAGAGUAUGGCCUCGCAGGACGUACCCAGCAGCGUGCCUCCGCCGCCUCCGGCGAACAGAAGGCUUGCUGGCAGGUGGAGCGCCUUGCCGAGCCAGUCCACAACGACCAUCUCGAGCUCCGCGGCGGCAGGCGAGGCGGCCCAUGUGAACGGCACGACGUUGAUGCCGGCGAUCAGCGCCUCGCCUAGGGCACCGGCGGUGCUGCUCGACGCUGGGAAAUGAGCGAAAUGGCGAGGGCUCUGCCAGUGCGUCAUUCCCGGCAGGAUGAGGUCGCGGAUGUCCUGCAGCGCGGAGGCCCAGGCGUCGGGCUCCGGCAUGGGCGGCGCGUCGGUGGGGAGCUGGUCGCGCAGGAAACCAGGGGUGACAUUCGGGCGGACUGGGUGGUCUCCCAUGCCGGACCAGUAG
Molecule: ribosomal RNA, 531 nt
Filed under: Triticum aestivum (bread wheat)
Lineage: Eukaryota; Viridiplantae; Streptophyta; Magnoliopsida; Poales; Poaceae
Description: partial small subunit ribosomal RNA
Source: RNAcentral